RNAcentral lists this ribosomal RNA (484 nucleotides) under uncultured bacterium. RNAcentral's name for it is "partial 16S ribosomal RNA". It matches the Rfam family "Bacterial small subunit ribosomal RNA", at positions 28 to 507 of the family's 1533-position model. The record is from RNAcentral.
AUUGAACGCUGGCGGCAUGCUUUACACAUGCAAGUCGAACGGCAGCGCGGGCUUCGGCCUGGCGGCGAGUGGCGAACGGGUGAGUAAUGCAUCGGAACGUGCCCCGCAGUGGGGGAUAGCCCGUCGAAAGCCCGAUUAAUACCGCAUACGACCUGAGGGUGAAAGCGGGGGACCGAAAGGCCUCGCGCUAUUUGAGCGGCCGAUGUCGGGUUAGAUAGUUGGUGGGGUAAAGGCUUACCAAGGCGACGAUCCGUAGCUGGUCUGAGAGGACGACCAGCCACACUGGGACUGAGACACGGCCCAGACUCCUACGGGAGGCAGCAGUGGGGAAUUUUGGACAAUGGGGGCAACCCUGAUCCAGCCAUGCCGCGUGCGGGAAGAAGGCCUUCGGGUUGUAAACCGCUUUUGUUCGGGAAGAAACGCUCUGGGCUAAUACCCCGGGGGGAUGACGGUACCGGAAGAAUAAGCACCGGCUAACUACGUG